CGGGGGGAGGUUUGAUGACUACUUGGUCGGGGGGAGGUUUGAUGACUACUUGGUCCCCCCUAAGGUACAUUAUAAGGCAUUUUUGGUGUGGCAGGU
Molecule: non-coding RNA, 96 nt
Organism: Momordica charantia (bitter melon)
Lineage: Eukaryota; Viridiplantae; Streptophyta; Magnoliopsida; Cucurbitales; Cucurbitaceae
Source: RefSeq, a predicted model, not a curated record